This 748-nucleotide ribosomal RNA is filed under the name Hymenoscyphus aurantiacus. RNAcentral describes it as "partial large subunit ribosomal RNA". It matches the Rfam family "Eukaryotic large subunit ribosomal RNA", at positions 68 to 937 of the family's 3401-position model. Lineage: Eukaryota; Fungi; Ascomycota; Leotiomycetes; Helotiales; Helotiaceae. The record is from RNAcentral.
ACAGGGAUUACCUCAGUAACGGCGAGUGAAGCGGUAACAGCUCAAAUUUGAAAUCUGGUGGGUCCGAGUUGUAAUUUGUAGAAGAUGCUUUGGGUGUGGUCCUUGGAACAGGUCGUCAUAGAGGGUGAGAAUCCCGUAUGCGACUGGCUGCCUUCGCCCGUGUAAAGCUCUUUCGACGAGUCGAGUUGUUUGGGAAUGCAGCUCUAAUUGGGUGGUAAAUUUCAUCUAAAGCUAAAUAUAUGCCAGAGACCGAUAGCGCACAAGUAGAGUGAUCGAAAGAUGAAAAGCACUUUGGAAAGAGAGUUAAACAGUACGUGAAAUUGUUGAAAGGGAAGCGCUUGCGACCAGACUCGGGCGCCGCUGAUCAACGGGGGCACUCGGCGGUGUGGGCCAGCAUCGGUUGGUGGCUGGAUAAAGGAAUGUAGCUUCCUCCCUCGGUGCAAUGCAGCCACUGGGACCGAGGACCGCGCUUCGGUCGUAAGCGACCCGUCUUGAAACACGGACCAAGGAGUCUAACAUCUAUGCGAGUGUUUGGGUGUAAACCCAUACGCGAAAUGAAAGUGAACGUAGGUGAGGUGCAUCAUCGACCGAUCCUGAUGUCUUCGGAUGGAUUUGAGUAAGAGCAUAGCUGUUGGGACCCGAAAGAUGGUGAACUAUGCCUAAAUAGGGUGAAGCCAGAGGAAACUCUGGUGGAGGCUCGGUUCUGACGUGCAAAUCGAUCGUCAAAUUUGGGGCGAAAGACUAAUCG